Molecule: non-coding RNA, 1680 nt
Organism: Phascolarctos cinereus (koala)
Lineage: Eukaryota; Metazoa; Chordata; Mammalia; Diprotodontia; Phascolarctidae
Source: RefSeq, a predicted model, not a curated record
AGGGACUGUGUGAAUGAAGCAAACUGUCUGAGCUUCAUGCGCCACUAUGGGUGAUGAGGUCCAUCAGCUGACAGGUUGGCAAGGAUUGCAAAAAAAAAAAACCCACCCCAGCAACUGAGAGAAACGCAGCUUGCCCCCGGGAGUCCGGCCCCGAACCUGCACUAGGUGCUGGAGGGGUGUGCAGGCAUCCUUGGACCCUCACCCCACGGCGUGGUAAGGAAGGAGAGGAAGAGAAGGGAUUAGAGAUUGGGAAGCUUUAUUCUUGCUUUGCAGCAAUAGCAAGGAAGCAAGCUCUGGGUGCGCGGUGUGUUGGGCUGUUUUCCUCUUCUUUUCACAUUGUGAGGAGUCCAGCCCGCUCCGGAGAGAUCCCUCGGAGUGGAGGGCCCCCUGAAAACUUGCGUCACACAACCACCACUUCCCACAUGUAACUUCGGGGAUUACUUCAGAGGCCGGCUGGCUGUCCCAGCCUGCUGGCUGGCUCUGCCACCAGAACUCCUCCCCUCUCGCGACUCCGGGCGCUACUUGCGCCGCCGCUGCUUCUGCGGCUGCUGCCCUGGAAAUCCCAGCCUUGCAGCUGGGAGAAGGGAGCUUCUUAGCUCGGGAAAGAUGCCGCGUAUCUUUGGAUUUCGAACCAUUCAUGGGAAAGUUGGGCCCUGAGCUGGACAGACAAGACCGGAGUGGUCAGGGGAUGGGGGAGUGGUGGAGGCUGCAGAACAGCAAUAUCCCUGGUGAGGAAAAAGCUGCCGAAUAUUACCUCCCCCCACCCCCCGCAAGCCUCAUCUCUCACAUAUCCUGGGUGCUGUGUCGGGCUUCCUCCUGCGAGGUACAUAUUCUUUGGACAGCACCUAGCAUGAGAUCAAGAGCGAUUUUUUUUUCUUCACAAAUCCUCAAUUAUAAUGAUAGCGAUGACUGUCACUGGGUAUAAUGGAGAGGGAUCCCUCCCAAAUCAGGAGGCCAUUCAGGAGCCUGUUGCCUCCUCUUCCAUGUUUAGAGUCCUUCUGGUAGAAGCAGGGCCUGAAAUGAUCCAGGAGGUGGAGACAGAAUCUAGCCCAGCCAGCAUUACCAUUAAGGAUCCAGCCUCUGCCAUCUGCCAGCUUGUCUUACCAGGCACCUUCAACACCAGCAAAAGAACAGCAGGAAAUAAGAUCAGUCAAAAACAACUUACUGAAUGCCUACUGUGCACAAGCUACUAUACUGGGACUAGGAGGUACAGCUGGGAAGAGGAAGAAGGAGCAGGAUACAAAAGAAGCAUUGGAUGGGCCCUGCCUUCCCAGAGCUUAUACUCUGAUUCAGAAAAUAGAACAUACACACAUGAACACAACAAAUUUAAUAUUUAUUAAGCACUGACUCUCUAUAUAGAUAAAUAUAGAUAUAGUUGUUAACCUCCUUGACUUAUAACCCUGAUGCAGUGAAGAAUGCCAGCUUCCACAACUCAAAUCCUGGAUGUGCCCAAUAGAUUCUAGUUGAGCUAAUGACUUCCAGCAGGCCCUGUAGAUCCCUGGCUUCACUCUUUAUAUUGUUAGUCCCAUGGUAAUACAUCUUACCUUGCCCUUGGCCAAACUCUAUCUAGAUUAUGUGCCCCUACUCACUCUAGAGUCUAGUGACAGGUAUCUAGUAAAUGUUAAUUAAUGAGAAAAUAGAUUUGAAUUAUAGCAAAUAAAGCAUAUGUUUUCAGACGUA